RNAcentral lists this ribosomal RNA (497 nucleotides) under uncultured bacterium. RNAcentral's name for it is "partial 16S ribosomal RNA". It matches the Rfam family "Bacterial small subunit ribosomal RNA", at positions 28 to 507 of the family's 1533-position model. The record is from RNAcentral.
GAUGAACGCUGGCGGCGUGCCUAAUACAUGCAAGUCGAACGAACGGACGAGAAGCUUGCUCUUCUGAGGUUAGCUGCGGACGGGUGAGUAACACGUGGGUAACCUACCUAUAAGAGGGGGAUAACUUCGGGAAACGGUAGCUAAUACCGCAUGAUAUUUUGAACCGCAUGGUUUAUAAGUGAAAGACGGUAUUGCUGCAAUAUAUAGAUGAAUUGCCGCUGCAUAAGCUGGUUGGGAAGGUAAGGGCUUACCAAGGCACCGAUGCUAAGCCGACCUGAGAGGGUGAUAGGCAACCCUGGAACUGAGCAACGGUCAAGACUCCUACGGGAGGAGGAAGUGGGGAACCUCCGGCAUUGGGGGAACGCCUACCGGAGCACCGCGGCGGGGGUGAUGAAGGUCUCCGGUCCGUAAACCUCUGUUAUAGUGGAAGACCAUAUGUGUAAGUAACUGUGCACACCUUGACGGUACCUAAUCAGAAAGCCACGGCUAACUACGUG